GUCUUAAGCAUGCAAGUCGAGCGGGCUUAUUCGGGUAACUGGAUAAGUUAGCGGCGAACUGGUGAGUAACACGUAGGUAAUCUGCCGUAGAGUGGGGGAUAACCCAUGGAAACAUGGACUAAUACCGCAUAUACUCUUGCUACAUAAGUAGAGUAGAGGAAAGGAGCAAUCCGCUUUACGAUGAGCCUGCGGCCUAUUAGCCUGUUGGUGGGGUAACGGCCUACCAAAGCUACGAUAGGUAGCCGACCUGAGAGGGUGACCGGCCACAUUGGGACUGAGAUACGGCCCAGACUCCUACGGGAGGCAGCAGCUGAGAAUCUUCCACAAUGGACGAAAGUCUGAUGGAGCGACAUCGCGUGAGGGAUGAAGGCCUUCGGGUUGUAAACCUCGGAAAUUAUCGAAGAAUGAGUGACAGUAGAUAAUGUAAGCCUCGGCUAACUA
This 441-nucleotide ribosomal RNA is filed under the name Brachyspira hyodysenteriae. RNAcentral describes it as "bacterial SSU rRNA". It matches the Rfam family "Bacterial small subunit ribosomal RNA", at positions 46 to 503 of the family's 1533-position model. Lineage: Bacteria; Pseudomonadati; Spirochaetota; Spirochaetia; Brachyspirales; Brachyspiraceae. The record is from RNAcentral.